This 497-nucleotide ribosomal RNA is filed under the name uncultured bacterium. RNAcentral describes it as "partial 16S ribosomal RNA". It matches the Rfam family "Bacterial small subunit ribosomal RNA", at positions 28 to 507 of the family's 1533-position model. The record is from RNAcentral.
GAUGAACGCUGGCGGCGUGCCUAAUACAUGCAAGUCGAGCGAACGGACGAGAAGCUUGCUUCUCUGAUGUUAGCGGCGGACGGGUGAGUAACACGUGGAUAACCUACCUAUAAGACUGGCAUAACUUCGGGAAACCGGAGCUAAUACCGGAUAAUAUUUUGAACCGCAUGGUUCAAAAGUGAAAGACGGUCUUGCUGUCACUUAUAGAUGGAUCCGCGCUGCAUUAGCAAGUUGGUAAGGUAACGGCUUACCAAGGCAACGAUGCAUAGCCGACCUGAGAGGGUGAUCGGCCACACUGGAACUGAGACACGGUCCAGACUCCUACGGGAGGCAGCAGUAGGGAAUCUUCCGCAAUGGGCGAAAGCCUGACGGAGCAACGCCGCGUGAGUGAUGAAGGUCUUCGGAUCGUAAAACUCUGUUAUUAGGGAAGAACAUAUGUGUAAGUAACUGUGCACAUCUUGACGGUACCUAAUCAGAAAGCCACGGCUAACUACGUG